Molecule: long non-coding RNA, 1188 nt
Filed under: Mus pahari (shrew mouse)
Lineage: Eukaryota; Metazoa; Chordata; Mammalia; Rodentia; Muridae
Description: predicted gene 43768 (MGP_PahariEiJ_G0032983.1)
Source: RNAcentral
UUUCUUUGCUCCUAUAUUGCUGGGUUUUCUCUAUUGCCAGCAAAGGGAAGGAACAUGACAGUCAUUCUUGUUACUUAAAAAUACUUUUAGUCUCAUGUAGUGAGGGUACAAACAAAUCAUAGUAAACUUGAAAACCACAUUACCUUCCCUCAGAAAUCAUUUUCAUGGGUUGCUGUGGCUAAGUAAAGGCAUGGUGCAUGCCUUUAAUCCUGGCACUCGAGAGGCUAAGACAGGCUGAUCUCUGUGAGUUCAAGGCCAGCCUGGUGUAUAUAGUGAGUUCAGGCAAGCCAGGGCUAUAUAGAGGGACUCAAUCUAAACCCCUUUACCUUCCACCCCACCCCUCAAAAGAAAGACUGAUUAGUUGCAUAAGGGCUAGACUUUGUGGUAAACAAUUAUCUUUCAGCCACUACUAGUUUAUUAGUUAAUUUUAAUUUGUUUUAGGUGAGGGCUUGCUACCAUGCACUUACUGGUAAGUAUUUUAGAAGCUAAGUCUCCAUGGGAAUAAUUCUUAUGAAAUGCUAGAUAAGCAGAGAGAUUUAACUGACUUUGGAUUUUUUUUUUUUUUUUUUUGAGACAGGGUUUCUCUGUGUAGCCUGGGCUAUCCUGGAACUCCCACUAUAGACAAGGCUGACCUCAAGCUCAGAGAUCUAACUGCCUCAGUCUCCUGAGUGCUGGGAUUCAAGGUGUGUGCCACCAUGCCCAACUGAGAUUUAACUGAUAAGCAAAGACUUUAUGAUCACAACAAAGUGUUUUAAGGACACAAUCCAUGCUGAGUUUAUUCAGCGCAUGGUGACAUUACUGACAAAGAGCAUUGUGAUAGUGUAACUUAAGCCAGGGACAUUCAUUCUGGCAAAAAACAAUCUUUAGGCAGUGUUGGAAGCUUUUCAAAAAAACAGGCUUCAUGGUAGUGGCACAAACCUUUCAUCCCAGCACUAAGGAGGCAGAGGUAGGUAGGUUCUCUGUAAGUUUCAGGCCACCCUUGUAAGUUACAGGACAGCCAGGGAUACACAGUGAAACCCUGUCUCAAAAAACCAAUCAACCAGCCAGCCAGCCAGCCAACCAACCCUUUUCAAAAAACCUUCAGUAAAGUUUGUGUUUCUAGCACUCAGAAGGUUGAGGUAAGUGGGUCUUGAGUUUUAGACCAGCCUGUGCUACAUAGAGAGGUCCUAUCUCAAAAACAAAACUACC